RNAcentral lists this small RNA (28 nucleotides) under Bombyx mori (domestic silkworm). Its description in RNAcentral is "ovarian small RNA-7485". Lineage: Eukaryota; Metazoa; Arthropoda; Insecta; Lepidoptera; Bombycidae. The record is from RNAcentral.
UCGACCAUUGAGCACAUAGACCCACGCA